UAUCUCUGUAGAGUCUGCAUAUCAAUAAGCGGAGGAAAAGAAACUAACUAGGAUUCCCUCAGUAACGGCGAGUGAAGCGGGAAGAGCUCAAAUUUGAAAUCUUCAAGGUUCUACCUUGACGAAUUGUAGUUUAAAGAAGUGUUUUCUGUUGGAGUUUUGGUAAAAGUUCUUUGGAAUAGGACAUCAUAGAGGGUGAGAAUCCCGUAUUUGACCAUUACUUUCCAGCGUUGUGAUACACUUUCAAAGAGUCGGAUUGUUUGGGAAUGCAGUCCAAAAUGGGUGGUAAAUUUCAUCUAAAGCUAAAUACUGGCGAGAGACCGAUAGCGAACAAGUACCGUGAGGGAAAGAUGAAAAGAACUUUGAAAAGAGAGUUAAACAGUACGUGAAAUUGUCAAAAGGGAAGCGUUUGACACCAGUGUUGUUUUCUCGAAAAUCAAUUAAAAAAGGCAGGAUUUUGUGUUGUAUUGACUUUAUCAGCUUUCUGCACUCUUUUCUUGUCUUUUUUAAUGCACUUUUCGUUUAACAAGUCAACAUCAAUUUCUUUUGUUGUAAAAGGGUCAUUGGAAGGUGGCUUUCUUUUCGGAGAAAGUGUUUAUAGCCUUUGGCCUCUGCAAUCGGAGAGAUUGAGGUCUGCAGCGUAGAUCCUUCGGGGUUAGAUACAUUUGUGCUAAGUUAUAGCCUUUCAUAGACAACUUGUUGACUAUGAUCAGUCAUGUAGCUUACUCGCUUAUGCUAUUUUACCUACGCUUAGGAUGUUGACGAUCAGCUGAGCGCG
Molecule: ribosomal RNA, 775 nt
Filed under: uncultured Neocallimastigales
Lineage: Eukaryota; Fungi; Neocallimastigomycota; Neocallimastigomycetes; Neocallimastigales
Description: partial large subunit ribosomal RNA
Rfam family: Eukaryotic large subunit ribosomal RNA
Source: RNAcentral